Elaeis guineensis (African oil palm) is the source of this 3127-nucleotide non-coding RNA. The record is from RefSeq and is a predicted model, not a curated record. NCBI's taxonomy places the organism in Eukaryota, Viridiplantae, Streptophyta, Magnoliopsida, Arecales, Arecaceae.
CCCCAAUUCCCGCCCCCACUCGCUCUCAGAUCCCUUCCACCAUUGUUCUUCCCUUCACAUCUCCUCCGUUCUUCGGCCCCCAUUUCCCAUGUCGGAAGAAGGAGAAGAGCUCGAGGUCGAGAUGGAGGCCACCGCUGCCUCGGGGCCGACCCCGUUCCAGCUCCAAUUCGACAAGCCCUUCCCCUUCCAGAUCAAGAUAGCGGAGUGGAAUCCGGAGAAGGAUCUGCUUGCCAUGGUUACGGAGGACUCCAAGGUCCUUCUCCAUCGUUUCAACUGGCAGAGGCUCUGGACCUUCUCUCCUGGGAAAUGUAUAACGUGUCUUUGUUGGCGCCCUGAUGGUAAAGCGAUAGCUCUUGGUCUUGAGGAUGGUUCCAUCUCACUACAUGAUGUGGAAAAUGGGAAGUUAUUGAGGAGCAUUAAGUCCCACAAUGUUGCUGUUGUCUGUCUGAACUGGGAGGAAGAUACACAGCUUGUGAGGGGUGACAAUGACCACACUUAUGAGGAUCGUACCAUGCGCUUCUUUCCUCCUGCUCCAAGAAUUCCUCGGAUGCCUGGACUGGGUUCUGGAGAUACUGGGCUCAUGGAUGACCCCGUAGAUACUUUUCAAGAUUUUUCCAAUUCUUCACAUCAAUGUUUUAACAUUCUGUGCAGUGGAGACCAGGAUGGCUUUAUUUGCUUUAGUAUAUUUGGAAUUUUCCCAAUAGGAAAGAUUAACAUCCACAAACUCUCUGUUUCUUCUCCAUAUUUGGACAAGCAGGCCACAUACCAACUACAAAAUGCUUCUAUACAAAAGGUGGCUUUAUCUAAAAACCUGCGUCAGUUAGUUGUUCCAAGCUUUGGAGAGCUGGUUGAAGACAUUGUUAAAUUGAAAGAUAAAUUUAUACAUACAGAUGGAGAACUGGUUGAACUGGACAAAUCUUCUCGUGGUGAAGACUCUUCGGUGGGAUUGCACUGCCUGAUUCUGAAUACUUCUAUAUUUCUCAACAGAAAAAAUGAACUACAUCAGGUGGCCCUGCAAGCUUCAAGUAUUGAAGAUUUAAUUGAGGUCGUCCGUGCUUCAUUGGCAGUGAUGUCCAAGCAAUGGUCUGACACCAUGACUACAUUUCAUGAGAAGUUUGACCCUCUGUCUUCUUUGAUUGUUGACCAUGGAUUAGAAUCCAAUUCUCAAGAUGAGUUUCUAAGUCUGUUAUUCGGGGCACGGACAAGUCCAGCACUUCACCAGUUUCUAGUUAACUCACUCGGUGAAGUGGGUGUGAAGCGUGUGUCUAAGGCCAUUGAUAAUGCUGGAAAAGAGCUUCAUGUUGUUGUACAUGAACAUCUUCAGCCUGCUGUAGAAAUUAUUGGAUUCAGAAUUGGAGAAUUGAGAGGCCUUUCAAGAUGGCGUGCACGGUUUCAGACUAUUGGACUGGAUGAGAAGCUUAUUGACAGUGCAACAGAAAAGGCUGGAAUGUUGCAUGUGCAACUUGAACGCUUUUCAAGGGUUCUAGCAACUGUAUUAUAUCAGUUCCAAAAUUUCUUUAACUGGGUUGCCAAAUGUAUAAAGAUACUAUUGUCUGACCCAACUGAUCAAAUACAACCACCCAACAGUGAACUCGUUGUUAUAUUUCUGAAGUUUCUUCUUGACCAUGAUCCAGUUGGACAGUUGUUGGAAGUAAAUCAUACAAUUGAUGUUGAUCCGGAUGCCAAGCAGCGAGUUGAACAACUUGUAAUGUUUGGUGGAUUUUUGGAUACAAGGUUCUUGGAAAGAACUUUAGCAAAUGAAUUCAGUCAGCUGGAGCAAUGUUUGAAAGAAGCUUUCUUAAUGCCAUUUACCACUAUUUCAAAGAAGAUACAUUGUGAAGACUUGUUACCGCUCUAUCCUCUUCCAUCUUCACCUGUAGCUUCAUCAUUACAUGGUCCAACAUCAAUAUCCUACUACAAGGAUAACCUUGAUAGCGCUCCACAUGGCCUUGUGGACUACAUAUGCUUCAGAAUACCUGAUGAAUCAAUGGAUUUGACAAACUGUAUUGGCGUAAUAAGAGGGUCUACAAAUACCUCCAGUUCUAUUAAGGACGUAAGUUCACCUGGAGCUGUUUUGCUAUGCAUACCCGAUGGAUAUCACUGCAUCGAUCUAUCCCUAUAUAAGCAAAGAGAGAUUGUUUUGCUACUUAAUGAAGCAAACUCAACUUCUGAGAGUCCUGGGAAAUCAUGGAUGAUGAUGGUACAAACAAGUGAUCUUUCUUUUAUGCCUCUUUCAAGAUUGGGGCCUACUAAUCUCUGGAAGUUGCGUGAAUUGAAGGCUUCUGCUCUGGACCUGCACAUUGAAAAUGGAAAAGUUCGUUGUAUUCCUCACCGUGUAACCAACCCACUGGCAGUUAGUGCUUCCCGAGGUGUUGCUUGUGUCUUUUCGUCACGAAGGCAUGCCUUGGUGUAUAUACUUGAUGAAGAUGAGGAUGAAACUUCUGAUAUGGAAUGAAUUUCUUCAGAGUGCUGUAUGGAAAGUGAGGAUCAUUACAACAUCUAAACAUGACUCGAACAUUGUGAAUCCCGCUCUGGAGGCAUCUUAUCUUCCGAUGUUGCUGCUGUAUGGCCGGCACAGGGUGCUGAAAUGAGCAUCAUCUUAUACGAUCAGAGUAUGGGUUCAUCACCCUGCUUAUUGAAGCUUAUACUAUCAAGUAUCUACCGCUUUUAGUGGAAGGUUCUCUACAAAGCUAGAAAGGAUUGCAUUUCACAUCCAGAUGGUAAAAUGCAGUCAUCAGUUAUCGCCCAUUUGGGCGUGGCAACUCGUGGAACUCUUUGAAAUAUAUGUGCAUGUAGUACAGAGUUCAACAAUGUAAUUAUAGGAUAACGCUGGUUGCAGCCAUAUUUGAUGGAGCUAGUGCUCUGUCCAAAGAAACAAAAGCGUUUAAGAAAGCAUCGAGGAAUGCCAUCUAUCCGGAAACUCUACGGGCGUAAAUUUGUGACGUAUCGAGUGGGAUCAUGAAUGAAACCUGGACCCGCGGAACUGCUUGUACGUUAGAUAUGUUAUGCACGUGGCUUGUAAGAAGAGUUUUUUUUCUUCUUUUUCUUUUCCUUUUCUUUAUCCUUUUUUACUUUUAAAGGGCGUUGGGCAUUAAAUAUGAGAAAUAAAUUAGUAUUAUCCAAGAUA